UCCGUUUCCUCAGCCGCCACAACUGCCCACUCCUGAUUCCGGCGAUUCCGGCAGCUAUCGCCGGCGCGGUGCACACCACCGAUCUCGGCUCGCUCGGCUCCGUCCUCCCGCCGGCAAGAUUUUCCCUUCCCGGCCUCUACCGCUCGCCCAAAUCCCACACCCGUGCUAGGGUUUCGGCCUCUGGCAUCGCCUUCGUUAUUGGCGCAUCUCCGACGGCCUCUGGCGGCCCUUCUCCACCGUCUUUAGCUCCCCCACGUGCGCCCUCGCCUUCUGAUGUUCCACCUCGAGCAGGGCGGCGCGGAGGAUCUCCUCCCGCAGGAUCCAUGGUGGUAGCGCACCCUGCAGCCGCCGGUCCGGGAGGAGGGCAGACACUGCGUCCUUGUCCUGCUCAAUGACGGUUGCGGCGAACGCCGGUGCUGCUCCUCAUUCUCGACCUUCAAGGAGGAGCGCUGGUACAGCAGAAGGACGCCCUGCCCCUGAACAAUGGCCAUGGCGCCAGGUAAGGUUGUGCUGCCGUGCCUAUAUUUCCUGGAGUGAACAAUUUGAUGGGCCAGAUUGCUUGUGCUAGAUGUGGUUAGUCUGUAGUGGUCAUCUUGUUUUUAAUUUUGGGGACAACUUGCUGCUUCUGCUGUCAAAUAUGCAAUUUAAUCUGUUACCAGAAGCGGGCUGCCUGCUUCGUUGCGCCACUUUUUUUUGCAGGUUAACAAUCUGUUUGUUUAGUUGUUCGUGGGUCUGUUGCGUCUUUUUGCUGUGUAUUGGGCGUUGCCCUGCUAGAUGCAUAUAAGAUUUGCAUGUAUACACACAUGUGUUGAGCAUUGGUAAUCAUGAUUUUCAGUAGUCCUGAAUUAUAAGCUCAGGCAAGCAUACCCAUUUCGGUGUUGUCACUACAAAAUAUAUACAGCAAAGGGCGAAACAAUAAUGAAAUACUGUGAGCGUGUUUUAUUCUUGUGCAAUCAAACAAGCUGUCCUUGUUUUAGCUUUCCUUUUAUGAGAAAGCCACUGCACAAAAAUACAAAUGAUUGUAAAAGGAAAGAAAACAUUUUCACACAACUAAUAAAAACAAGAAAACAUUAAGAUAUGUGGCAUGUGUCCAAUUUACAUGUAGCUGCAGCUCGUAUUCACCAGCACCAUGGGCAGGUAGGGUGGACUCUAUCUUGGCCUCUUGGGUCUCAUCAUCACAAAAGUUCAUUAAACUUGCAUACCUGCAUCAUAUGCAAAUGUCGAAAAUUGCAACAUAUGUAUAGCGCAUCAUGUCAUCAAUUGCUUCCAGCCAUCAAAUUAUUAAGUGACAUGUACUAUGCUUUAUGUGUGUCGGAAGCUAUGCAACAACUUAUUUUCUUUAGUCUCGAAUUUUGUAGCAACCAGUCACCCGUUCACUUACACGACAAUGACCGGAGCCUAGAAAUAGUACUGUAAAUAUAUAGUUCUGUUCCACAUUUAGUCUACUGUGCAAGAUUGUCACAAUUAGUAACCCGAUACUUUCAGGCACUCAUUUGUUUUGGAUAAACAUACCCUUUUAUUAAAUUAACAUAUACAAUUCAGUCAAAAAAAUUAUCAUAUACAAACCAUUCUUUCUUAAAAAAUCUAUAUUGUUAGAAGAGUGUUCAAAGAUUUACUUAUUCAAAUAGAAUAGAUCAUGAAGAAAUGCUAAUGCCAAUUAUAUUUAGAAAAAACUUACCAAUUAAUUGGCAAUAAAUUAAUCAUAGCUGCAGCCUGCAGUACAGAGUUAUUGAUAUUUAUCCGAGGCUACAGCUGUAGCCUACACAAUCUUAAUACACACAUAGGAGAAGAGAACUUGAAGGGGAGAAAUUCUGAACCAUAGUUGUAGCUGGAUAUAAAGAUAAAAAAUAACAUAUAUGAUAUAGACUUAGGACCUGUUCUACAACCAGCACUCAACAAUUUACAGGUAAACAAACACGCACAAGACUUUGCUGAAUAAUUUGAAGCACUGGAGAUAACAUACGAAGCAACAAAAUGAUGUCUUUUGGUUACUUGGUGUACUUGGCUGUACUAUUUAUUAGGGUUGAUUUCUGUGCUACUAAUGACUACUGCCUUCUCCACCCAUCCAAUGGUGUACAGGACGUCCUCCUCCUUGAUGCGGCUGUCCCCAACGAGCUCUCUUCGCCGGAGGAGGUGGAGCAGCAUGUCCAGCACCCCCUUGGCCUCCUAUCAUGCAGCACAUGGACGAGCUCACUGACAACUGCGUUCUGCCCUCCUAGUGUGGUGAGCUUCUCCCAUCUCCCCCCUUUACGCCAAAAUCUGGAUGAUACCUGCAAUCUAAAUACGAAUCAUGUUUUUGUUCAGUUUAGUGGUGAAUUCAAUUGCUUAGAUGAACAUGUGAGGUUUGUUAGUUGCCGAUGCUUAUGUGGAUCUGGUUCUCUUGCACUGUUACACAUAAUUUAAUCAAGGCAAGCUAAUGCUAAUCCAUAGUAUGAUAUAGCUAAAAAAUCUAAAAUGUACAGGUCUUCAUGUUGCUUUGGUACAGAUCUUUUGGGAGUUAAUUUGGUAACUUCAACCUGUUAGAUAUAAAUUCAGCUGUGACUAUAUCUUGCCAGAACCGACUUGUUUUGCAGAUGCGUGUAUGUAGUACUUGAGAAAAAACCUAAUUAUUUAACUGAAACACUGUCUAAUUAUUAAUUGGAAAUAACUAUAAAUUUGGAUGUCAUAAAAAAAUGCAUAAAUAUCAAGAAACCACACACAUUGUCAGAAUAUGCAAGCCGUUUAUCUGGAUUAUAUAUCAUGCUAAGUAAUCAUAUAUAUGUAGCGCAGCAUCCAUGUGUUAGUAUGUAUGAUUUCCUAGAUAUACACAUAUUAAAAGGAAAAUAAUAUAUUCGGAUUUCAACUUAGUUUUGACAUGUUUAACUUGCAUGGAUUUAUAAAUUGUAGUUUAGCCGUGUCUGUUGUUAUGUUGAUGUGACUUUUCUGAUCAGUUCAAGUGUUGAGAGUUGCAAAAUUGGAAUUAACCUUCUCUCUUGAUGCCCAAAAACAUCCUUUUAAUGCUACAGGAAUAGCUCCAGAGUUGAUGAUGAUCUUUAGCCUGGUAAGAUAAGGUAGAAAAGUAUGGCUAACUGGAUGUUUAGCCUGUUGUGUGAAUUAAAAAGAACUGAGAGAUGAUAAAACAUUCAUAUAUGUAGGUCAGAUUCUAUUACAAAUAUAUGUAGGUCACUGUAAUAGUAUUUUCUCAUUGAAAAUGGAGAAAAUGUACUACGUGAUAAGUAGGCGGGAACUAAAAAAUUGUUAGUCGAUGUGUAUUGCAUAUAUCUUUUUGUUUGGAUGCCAAAAAUUAUCUUCUUUCUGGCUUGAUUAACUUCCUUUUUUCUGUCCAAUCCAUUUUGAAUGAGAUUACUACCAAUAACAGAUAGUAUGGAGGGGGAAACAAUGUUUUACUAUAAUUACAUUGUCUUCACUUAGAGUUAUCUUCUAAUGUCACCAGCAACUGUUUCUAUGUUACCUCGCAGAUUCACUCCAUAUAAGACACUUAUAAUAUUGUGCAAAUAACUAGCUACCAUUAUGAAGUGUGCAUUACUAGCUACCAUUAUGAAGUGUGCAUUAUUUAUUUGAGAUAUGACAUAUCAUCCUAAUUGUGUAGUUCCUAGAAUUCAUGUGUCACUGUAUUGAAUCCCUAGAUGAUCUCCUUGGACUAACAUGCCAAAGUUAAUCUUAGAUAUGGUGAACUAUAAAUUUAUAAUGAUCAAAACUAUUUGUAUUGAUGUUAAUUAAAGUGUGUACCAAGCAUUUGAUGGUUUGGGAACGAAGUAUGAAUAUUGAAUGCUAUACAAUCAGAAUGUGUUAUACUAACUUUUUAGGCCUUUUUAGCUAAAUAUGUAAGGGCAGGUAAUGCCCGUCAUAUAUUGAAGUGUGAUACUACAUAAUAUUUGUUGUAUCUAUAGUCGGACUAUUUUUAUAUGUGUAAUAAUACAUACAAAAACUGACUUCUACUUGAUCUAAUCCUUUAUGUCUUCUACACAAUAUCUGUUGUAUAUGUAGUCGGACUAUUUUUAUCUAUAGGACUAUCUUACAAAUGUCUUUUCAUCUAGAUUAAUCGUAAGCCACAUAUGCCAGAUCUUUUUCUUGUGGAGUAUCAUAUUAGAUAGGACACAUAUUCCACCAAGACAUAAUCAUUAUGGAAUUGUUUCAUUCUUUUUUACCUUCUGAGAUGAAAAACAAUGGCUAGGUAUUUUCAUUAAUGCACAUUAUUCAGUUGGGCUGCAUUAUCAAGUUUAUUGUGGUGAUUGUUUAAAAUAAGAAAAACGGAGUUUACUUCCAACUCUAUUGGUCUAUGUAUGCUCAUCAUUUCUUUUUGUUGCCACUAGUUGUUUCUUUUCACACCUUGGUUAAUUUGUUGCACUACUUUGCAUCCUGGGAGUGAAAAAAUAUAGAACUUGAUAAUCUGUAGUAAGCUACUUGUAGUUUAACCUACUGGCUGUAAUAUUUUAUAACGCGACAUAUUUUUCAUCAUGUGGCAGAUAUUGGUUAUGGGAGCAUUUUUAACAAGAAAGACAUGCGUUUUGACAACUUUGGCAUGAACGGGUGGAUUUGCUGCUUGGAUGACCCCUAGUUGGUGUGUGGCUGCCUGAUAAGAGUGGCCAUCGCUUUGUGGGCGUGGUGCUGGUUGUAGAGUAGGAUAGUGUUCUUCGGCACAUGCUUGUAAAAUUAAUGUUUUUUGGGUCUUUUUUUACGCUCCUGUAGAGGUGUAUUUUUGGAUAUGUUUGUAAUUUUUUUUCUAAUGACAUGAGCAUAUACUUUCUGUCAAAUUCUUAUUGGUGUAAAUUUUCCAUGGAAAAUGAGAGAUGCGUGAAUCUCUUGGACUGAAAUUAGUGGGCCUUGAAAUUAAUGGGCUUAAAUUAUAAUUGGGUUGAUUACUAUAUGGGCCGCCACUCUUGGACAG
RNAcentral lists this long non-coding RNA (4888 nucleotides) under Triticum aestivum (bread wheat). RNAcentral describes it as "long non-coding RNA (TAES_LNC025166)". The record is from RNAcentral. Lineage: Eukaryota; Viridiplantae; Streptophyta; Magnoliopsida; Poales; Poaceae.